Molecule: ribosomal RNA, 158 nt
Filed under: uncultured bacterium
Lineage: Bacteria
Description: partial 16S ribosomal RNA
Rfam family: Bacterial small subunit ribosomal RNA
Source: RNAcentral
UGAGGAAUAUUGGUCAAUGGCCGAAGGGCUGAACCAGCCAAGUCGCGUGAGGGAAGACGGCCCUACGGGUUGUAAACCUCUUUUGCCGGGGAGCAAAGGCGGUCACUGGUGACCGGAUGAGAGUACCCGGAGAAAAAGCAUCGGCUAACUCCGUCGCC